This 26-nucleotide non-coding RNA is filed under the name Cricetulus griseus (Chinese hamster). The record is from RNAcentral. Lineage: Eukaryota; Metazoa; Chordata; Mammalia; Rodentia; Cricetidae.
CACGUUGGUGGGAACCCCAGGCAGGC